This is a long non-coding RNA of Oncorhynchus tshawytscha (Chinook salmon), 1589 nucleotides long. Lineage: Eukaryota; Metazoa; Chordata; Actinopteri; Salmoniformes; Salmonidae. The record is from Ensembl.
GGCCAAACAUAGAACUAGACAAACUAGACAUGUAACAUAGAAUGCCCACUCAGCUCACACCCUGACCAACCAAAACAUAGAAACAUACAAAGCAAGCUAUGGUCAGGGUGUGACAGGUAGAGGACACAUGCAUAUCUUGUCCCCACGCACAGGGAAGAAGAUGGUUCAGGAGGGAAAGAAAAGCCCAAGGGCCCCAGUUUGAGAAUUACAGAACUUGGUCAUAGCUUGUGGUCACCAAGAUUCCAAAUCUACAAUUAGAUGCCACCUCCAUGCUACUUGGAAGAGUUUCUCUUCCAAAAAAAAAAAAAACUUUAUUGAGAGCAACCAAAAAAAUGUAAACGUCUGGAGUUUGGUAAACGGCAUUGGCACCUGGAUUGGGACCGGGGUGGACAGAUCAGUCCAAAAUAGAGCUAUUUGUAAAACUCUAAAGAAGGAUAGUGAAAAUAACCUCAUACCUACUCGGUAGCGGUGUGUACAAUCACUGGGCCAAGCCAAGCCAGUAAAAAAGUCACAUUACAAAUCAAAUAAAAUGUUAUUUGUCAAAAUGCUUCGAAUACAACAGGUAUAGUAGACCAUACAGUUAAAUGCUUACUUACAAGCCCUUAACCAACAACGCAGUCCUAAGAAGGUACCUAAAAAAAAAAGUAAGCGAUAAGAAUAACAUCUAAUUAAAGAGCAGCAGUAAAUAACAACAGCGGGGCUAUAUACAGGGGGUACGGGUACAGAGUCAAUGUGGAGGCUAUAUACAGGGUAUUACGGUACAGAGUCAAUGUGGAGGCUAUAUACAGAGUAUUACGGUACAGAGUCAAUGUGGAGGCUAUAUACAGGGGGUACGGGUACAGAGUCAAUGUGGAGGCUAUAUACAGAGUAUUACGGUGCAGAGUCAAUGUGGAGGCUAUAUACAGGGGGUACGGGUACAGAGUCAAUGUGGAGGAUAUAUACAGGGGUACGGGUACAGAGUCAAUGUGGAGGCUAUAUACAGAGUAUUACGGUGCAGAGUCAAUGUGGAGGCUAUAUACAGGGGGUACGGGUACAGAGUCAAUGUGGAGGCUAUAUACAGAGUAUUACGGUGCAGAGUCAAUGUGGAGGCUAUAUACAGAGUAUUACGGUGCAGAGUCAAUGUGGAGGCUAUAUACAGGGUAUUACGGUACAGAGUCAAUGUGGAGGCUAUAGACAGAGGGUACCAGUACAGAGUCAAUGUGGAGGCUAUAUACAGGGGGUAGCGGUACAGAGUCAAUGUGGAGGCUAUAUACAGGGGGUAGCGGUACAGAGUCAAUGUGGAGGCUAUAUACAGGGGGUACCGGUACAGAGUCAAUGUGGAGGCUAUAUACAGGGGGUACCGGUACAGAGUCUAUGUGGAGGCUAUAUACAGGGGGUACCGGUACAGAGUCAAUGUGGAGGCUAUAUACAGGGGUAGCGGUACAGAGUCAAUGUGGAGGCUAUAUACAGGGGGUAGCGGUACAGAGUCAAUGUGGAGGCUAUAUACAGGGGGUAGCGGUACAGAGUCAAUGUGGAGGCUAUAUACAGGGGGUAGCGGUACAGAGUCAAUGUGGAGGCUAUAUACAGGGGGUACCAGUACAGAGUCAAUG